Dendroctonus ponderosae (mountain pine beetle) is the source of this 1001-nucleotide long non-coding RNA. RefSeq lists it as uncharacterized. NCBI's taxonomy places the organism in Eukaryota, Metazoa, Arthropoda, Insecta, Coleoptera, Curculionidae. The record is from RefSeq and is a predicted model, not a curated record. The transcript is spliced from 2 exons.
UCAAAAAGGUCAUAAAUGAUUAGGUAUUUCUAAUUGUUUCUGAAAUAUAAGGUACUUUAAACCUUCAAGACCCUUUAAAUUGUACUUUUUUACUUCUAUCUUUUUAGAGGAUAUAAAUUUCUUGAGAGGCAGUUUCUUGCUAUAGAAGGAUAUCAAAAAGAUUUGGGAGAAAUAUCACUUUUUCAGAACUGAAUACACCUGAAAGAAGACAAAGUCGUAUUUCGAGCCUUAAUUUCUCUGCAUUAAAAUAUAGUAGAGGAUUUUUAAGAUUAUUUUUCCUUAUUUGUCGAAAUCGUUCUAUAGAUAGAAGCGAUACUGCUAAACGUUUUCGAUCCCAAUUGAAUCACCAAAUUUUGUAAAAUUGUCCAUCUCCCGUUAUUAAUAUCGUAGAGCACCUACAGGCUUCCAGCCAGUUUUUACUCAACUCGAAUUACGUACAAAACUGUAUCUGCUUACGCAGGCUUGUCUCGGUCACAUUGCAAAAACUCCACAAAACUGAAGAAACCCCACCGUAUCGAAAACGUUCACAAGAUGGCUACAGUCAGCUGCUUCCUAAUUCAUUCGAUUUGCUUUUGUGAAAAUCAGCUUUGAAUAUAAAACUUAGUUUUAUAUUCAAAGAAAAUCAGUGAUAAAAAAAUUGAGCGUCGAUAUUAUGAGCAACUAUUUUUCUUACUAUUAUGUGUAAUUUUUGACCACCGAUCUCUCUCAAAUUAAAGACAUACAUACAUAACAAAAACAGCAGCAAAAAGUUCAGAUUCUUGGUACUCUUGCAUAGACAUCCACAUCUGCUGGAAUGUUCCAAUGGAUGCUAAAAUCGAUCCGCCGACCCAAGCACCGAAUCGUCUUUCCACUGUUCCAUUAGCCGCUAUCAUUUUCAGCUUCAUAGAACCGGGAGUUCUAGAUUGAAGAUCUCGACUAAGCCGAUCGCUAAAUCCCUAUGUUGCAAAAUGUUUAUAAGGAUUAACGGAAUAUGUGAAAUAAACCACAGGAAUGUAAAAGUU